AUGGGAUUGGGCCCUGUUCUGAACUCCAGUGCUAAACUAAAGAAGGAAAAACUGGAUACCAAACAUGUCUGGGCUAAUUGACAACAUCUGUGUGAAAAUACAGUGGACAUCAACGGCCCUUGUUCAAGAAGGGCGUAUCGUCUUCAUCAUCAUUGUCAUCAUCAUGAUUUUCAUUUUCUAUACCACCAGUUAUCAGUAUUUUCAGUAAAGUCUUUUCUUCAAUGUUACAAGU
Long non-coding RNA from Pygocentrus nattereri (red-bellied piranha), 232 nucleotides. RefSeq lists it as uncharacterized. Lineage: Eukaryota; Metazoa; Chordata; Actinopteri; Characiformes; Serrasalmidae. The transcript has 2 exons. The record is from RefSeq and is a predicted model, not a curated record.